Molecule: ribosomal RNA, 535 nt
Filed under: Erysiphe paeoniae
Lineage: Eukaryota; Fungi; Ascomycota; Leotiomycetes; Helotiales; Erysiphaceae
Description: partial large subunit ribosomal RNA
Rfam family: Eukaryotic large subunit ribosomal RNA
Source: RNAcentral
ACAGCUCAAAUUUGAAAUCUGGCUCCUUUGGAGUCCGAGUUGUAAUUUGUAGAAGAUGCUUUGGGUUGUGGGUUCGGCCUAAGUUCCUUGGAAUAGGACGUCAUAGAGGGUGAGAAUCCCGUAUGUGGCCGAGGCCUGCGCCUGUGUAAAGCUCUUUCGACGAGUCGAGUUGUUUGGGAAUGCAGCUCAAAAUGGGUGGUAAAUUUCAUCUAAAGCUAAAUAUGGGCCAGAGACCGAUAGCGCACAAGUAGAGUGAUCGAAAGAUGAAAAGCACUUUGGAAAGAGAGUUAAACAGUACGUGAAAUUGUUGAAAGGGAAGCGUUUGCAACCAGACUUGGGCACUGCCGAUCACCCUGAGUUCUCUCAGGUGCACUCGACAGCGCACAGGCCAGCAUCGGUUCGGGUGGCUGGAUAAAGGCCGUAGGAACGUAGCUCCCCUCGGGGAGUGUUAUAGCCUACGGUGCCAUGCAGCCCAGCCGGACCGAGGACCGCGCCUUCGGGCUAGGAUGCUGGCGUAAUGGUUGUAAGCGACCCG